RNAcentral lists this ribosomal RNA (506 nucleotides) under uncultured bacterium. RNAcentral describes it as "partial 16S ribosomal RNA". It matches the Rfam family "Bacterial small subunit ribosomal RNA", at positions 29 to 523 of the family's 1533-position model. The record is from RNAcentral.
AGUGAACGCUGGCGGUAGGCCUAACACAUGCAAGUCGAACGGCAGCACAGGAGAGCUUGCUCUCUGGGUGGCGAGUGGCGGACGGGUGAGGAAUACAUCGGAAUCUACUCUGUCGUGGGGGAUAACGUAGGGAAACUUACGCUAAUACCGCAUACGACCUACGGGUGAAAGCAGGGGACCUUCGGGCCUUGCGCGAUUGAAUGAGCCGAUGUCGGAUUAGCUAGUUGGCGGGGUAAAGGACGACCAAGGCGACGAUCCGUAGCUGGGCUGAGAGGAUGAUCAGCCACACUGGAACUGAGACACGGUCCAGACUCCUACGGGAGGCAGCAGUGGGGAAUAUUGGACAAUGGGCGCAAGCCUGAUCCAGCCAUACCGCGUGGGUGAAGAAGGCCUUCGGGUUGUAAAGCCCUUUUGUUGGGAAAGAAAUCCAGCUGGCUAAUACCCGGUUGGGAUGACGGUACCCAAAGAAUAAGCACCGGCUAACUUCGUGCCAGCAGCCGCCGUAA